Molecule: long non-coding RNA, 1301 nt
Filed under: Homo sapiens (human)
Lineage: Eukaryota; Metazoa; Chordata; Mammalia; Primates; Hominidae
Description: HSALNT0363289
Rfam family: mir-612 microRNA precursor family (bases 230-315)
Source: RNAcentral
GCUCGGAGCCCACCUGGUAGUCCUCAGACUGUGUGUGUGUGUGUGUGUGUGUGUGUGUGUGUGUGUGUGUGUGUGUGUGUGUGUGUGUAAAAGAGAGAAGUUGUGGAGAAAUGGGGGGCUGAUUCUGCUCAGAUUCAUCAGGAUGAGUAGAAGGCACCCAGCUCUCACCCUGGCCUGACAUGUGUGUCCCUGAGCAGGUUACAGUCCUCUCUGAGCCUCUGCUUCCCAUCUGGACCCUGCUGGGCAGGGCUUCUGAGCUCCUUAGCACUAGCAGGAGGGGCUCCAGGGGCCCUCCCUCCAUGGCAGCCAGGACAGGACUCUCAAAUGAGGACAGCAGAGCUCGUGGGGGGCUCCCACGGACCCGCCGUGGGCCCAGGGGAGGCAGAGCCUGAGCCAACAGCAGUGGUGCUGUGGACCGUGGAUCCUGAGGGUGGCCUGGGGCAAGUACCGGCUGAGGGUCCAGGUGGGCUUUGUGUACCUUUGGGUCCUGGGGCCCUGGUGACUUGGACUCCAGGUUAGAGUCAAGUGACAGGAGAAAGGCUGGUGGGGCCCUGUGCUUCCGACUUCAUUUCGAGUGAUGGCAGUUCCCAGGAAGGAAUCCACAGCUGACGGUGGCUGACAGAUCAGAGAAUGGAAGGCGAGGCAGGCGGGCGUCUGCGUGACCUCAGGUGCUUGGGGCCCAGCAGACCCAGAGAACCAUUUCCACUAGGCCAGGGUGCCGGAAGUGUCCACAGGUCUUAGAUUCCCUGUUCAGAUGAAAAGAUUUGUGCCUUUAAUGAUAAAAGUGAUCUGCAUAGAGUCAAAAAUUCAAGCCAUGGGUAUAAAAUGCAAGUAAAAUCCCUGCCCUCACCUAUCCCACCCUACUACACAGAGAUGUCCUCUCGAGUUUCCUAGACUCACUCUGGAAAUUUCUGUAUACACACAGAAGCUUGUGCCUCUGCUCGUGAAGGCAGAGGGAGGGAGAGCUGAAGGGCCAGCACCUUCUCACCUGUGGGCCCCCUCAGUGCUCGGUCCCAGAGCAUGCAGGACUGUGCCUCGUGUUCAGUUUGCUGGUCUGACUUCAUGCUCCUUGGGCAGGAUAUGCAUGUGCCAUGCUAGGAGACAUGUGGAUGUGAAGCUGGGGGACAAUGUCCCCUGGCUAUGCCUUUACAAGGGAAGUAAGGAAGGUAGGAGGUGAGCCUGGGAGGGAGGGAGGGAGGCGCGGAGCCGCCGCAGGUGUUUCUUUUACUGAGUGCAGCCCAUGGCCGCACUCAGGUUUUGCUUUUCACCUUCCCAUCUGUGAAAGAGUGAGCAGGAAAAAG